GACGAACGCUGGCGGCGUGCUUAACACAUGCAAGUCGAACGAUGAAGAAAAGAAUCGAAGCUUCGGCAGAAAUUCAUUUCGGAUUAGUGGCAGACGGGUGAGUAACGCGUGAGCAACCUACCUCUUACAAAGGGAUAGCCUCGGGAAACCGGGAUUAAUACCAUAUAACAUUGCAACGAAGCAUUUCGAUGCAAUCAAAGCUACGGCGGUAAGAGAUGGGCUCGCGUCCCAUUAACCGGAUGGUGAGGUAACGGCUCACCAUAGUGACGAUGGGUAACCGGGCUGAGAGGGUGAACGGUCACACUGGAACUGAGACACGGUCCAGACUCCUACGGGAGGCAGCAGUGGGGAAUAUUGCACAAUGGAGGGAACUCUGAUGCAGCGACGCCGCGUGAGUGAUGAAGGAAUUCGUUUCGUAAAACUCUGUUCUAUGGGAAGAAAAGGACGGUACCAUAGGAGAAAGCGCCGGCUAAAUACGUG
Molecule: ribosomal RNA, 480 nt
Filed under: uncultured bacterium
Lineage: Bacteria
Description: partial 16S ribosomal RNA
Rfam family: Bacterial small subunit ribosomal RNA
Source: RNAcentral